RNAcentral lists this unclassified non-coding RNA (1084 nucleotides) under Hevea brasiliensis (rubber tree). Lineage: Eukaryota; Viridiplantae; Streptophyta; Magnoliopsida; Malpighiales; Euphorbiaceae. The record is from RNAcentral.
UAUUAUUCAGACCUUUCAUUAUUUCAAAAGGACUCUUAAGUUGCCGUUACCUACAUCUCAUCCAACUACUUAUGUAUCGCUUGGAACUAGAUGACUUACGCUCAGAAAUAAUAAAGAUUAACAAAGGUAUCGAUACGGAAAUAAACUAGAGCACAACCUUUCUCUGUAUCUUUCUAGCGUGAUAUGAACUUAAAGAAGAUAACAUACGUAAAGAAAGAAGAAUGGAAAUGCGUAAAACAAGAACUAAACUUAAUAAAAUGGCAACAUGAAUACUGACCUGUAAGGAGUCAAUUCUAGUGAACUAACCGAGGAUCACAAAACGCAAUAAGAUUGCAAGUUGAUAGCCGAGAGACUAAGGUUCGCCUUGGAACAAAGAGUGCUUCACUAAAUGCAAUCGAGUCAGAAUUAUACCCGAGUUUAAAUGAGAUUGAGUAUGGGCGAUGGAAGUGAAAAUAAAGAUAACAAGGAACUGAAAAAUGUGAACGCUAUGGGAUAAUGAACGAGCUGAAAAUGGAGAGUUUCAGCGUUCCAAAUCUUUUAAGAAAACACUUCAGGAAACUGGUUCCAAAAGCUCUUCUUAUGAAAGCAGAGUAAAAAUCUGAAUUAAAUUUCAGAGUUCUUCCACUAUAUUAACAACCUUCUUUCUUUUUUCCGUCCCCCUUGAACAGUUUUCAUGCAGGUAUUUAUAGGAACCGGGUGGCUCCCCUGAAGGGUCAGGAUCUAUCUUGGGGGAGAUGGAGGGUCAGGAUUUCAAAGGACAUGAUCGGAUGCUUGAGAAUUAAAGAGAACCAAAAUGAACGGCUGAGAUUAUUCUUCAGAAUAUUUGUCCUUUUCUUCUUUCAAUCUGACGGUCUCAAAUCCACUUGUCCGGAGCGAUCUGAGGGCUAAGAGCGAAAGGCGCUGGUCUUGUCGUCUCCUCUCUUGAUCCACGGGCUCCGGGUUCGUCCUUACAAGUGAAAUCAACGGUGGAGAUUGGGAUGUACAGGACUGUCAUGACAUACCCUGGCACCUGUCAGCAUUGCGGGCGAUUCUUAGGCGUGCGGUGGAGAUCUCGUCUGCCACGCUUUAACUACCUCGGCUCUGA